AGAAUCAACGCUGGCGGCGUGCCUAACACAUGCAAGUCGAACGAGAAAGUGGAGCAAUCCAUGAGUAAAGUGGCGCACGGGUGAGUAACACGUGACUAACCUACCUUUUAGUGGGGGAUAACCUAGGGAAACCUGGGCUAAUACCGCAUAGCACUUACGAGUCAAAGCAGCAAUGCGCUGAAAGAGGGGGUCGCGGUCGAUUAGUUAGUUGGCAGGGUAAUGGCCUACCAAGACUGUGAUCGAUA
This 245-nucleotide ribosomal RNA is filed under the name uncultured bacterium. RNAcentral's name for it is "partial small subunit ribosomal RNA". It matches the Rfam family "Bacterial small subunit ribosomal RNA", at positions 26 to 285 of the family's 1533-position model. The record is from RNAcentral.